AGGGUGCACGGUGAAUGUCUAGGCGUGAUGAGGCGAUGAAGGACGUGGCAGGCUGCGAUAAGCCCAGGGGAGCUGUCAAACGAGCUUUGAUCCUGGGAUCUCCGAAUGGGGCAACCCGGCAUUACAGUGCAAGCUGAUAAUGUCACCGGCGGCUGAAUUCAUAGGCCGUCGGGGCUAACGCAGGGAACUGAAACAUCUAAGUACCUGCAGGAAAGGAAAUCAACCGAGACUCCGUAAGUAGCGGCGAGCGAAAGCGGACAAGCCCAAACCCUCCGACUUGUCGGAGGGGGUUGUGGGCGCCAAUCUGGAGUUACAAAGGCAGCGGUAGCCGAAGAGUCUGGAAAGGCUCACCAUAGAAGGUGAUGGUCCUGUAGGCGAAACCGCGAGCCCUCCGUUGCGGUUGGCGUUCCAGAGUAGCGUAGAGCCCGUGAAACUCUGCGUGAAGCUGGGGGGUCCACCCUCCAAGGCUAAGUACUACAUCACGACCGAUAGUGCACAAGUAGGGUGACUGAACGAUGAAAAGAACCCCAAUAAGGGGAGUGAAAAGUACCUGAAACCGUGUACCUACAAGUGGUCGGAGCCCUAUGUCCCGGUCUUCGGAUCGGGAAACGGGUGACGGCGUACCUUUUGCAUAAUGGACCGGCGAGUUGUCGUUUGCGGCGUGCCUAAGUGGUUAAGCCACGGAGGCGAAGCGAAAGCGAGUCUGAAAUGGGCGUCUAUGUCGCAGGUGGCAGACCCGAAACCGAGUGAUCUACCCAUGGCCAGGUUGAAUCCGCUGUAACAGGUGGAGGAGGACCGAACCCGUUAACGUUGAAAAGUUAUGGGAUGAGCUGUGGGGAGGAGUAAAAGUCUAAUCAAACUCGGAGAUAUCUGGUUCUCUCCGAAAUAGCUAGAGGGCUAGCCUCGGGACACUACGUCAUGGGGGUAGAGCACUGGAUGAAACGCGGGGCCCACCAAGCUACCGCCUUCAACCAAACUCCGAAUACCAUGACGACUAUCCCGGGAGUCAGACCGCGGGGGAUAAUCUCCGUGGUCGAAAGGGAAACAGCCCAGACCGCCAGCUAAGGUCCCUAAACAUUGCUAAGUGGAUAAGGAAGUCGAAUUGCUGUGACAGCCAGGAUGUUGGCUUAGAGGCAGCCAUCAUUUAAAGACCGCGUAAUAGCCCACUGGUCGAGCAACUCGGCGCCGAUAAUGAUCGGGGCUAAGCAUUGUACCGAAGCUGCGGAUCGUCCGCGCUUGCGCGGGCGGUGGUAGGAGAGCGUUGCUGUCGGCGCUGAAGCGGUACCGUAAGGAGCCGUGGAGCGGCAGCAAGUGAGAAUGCCGGUAUGAGUAACGAUAAAGCAGGUGAAAAUCCUGCUCGCCGAAAGCCUAAGGUUUCCUGGGGAAGGUAAAUCCGCCCAGGGUUAGUCGGACCCUAAGUCGAGGCCGAAAGGCGUAGACGAUGGACAGCAGGUUAAUAUUCCUGCACUGUGCGCCGAAGGUUUGCACCAGAGGAGUGACGCAUCGCCAAGGUAGAUCGUGCGAAUAGACGAGCACGUUGGGGGCGCCGGGGUGGUCGGAUUAAUAGUUCGGCCAUCAGCCCUGUCGCCAGCUCGAGGCCGAUUUGGUUGCCGAAGUCUGCGGCGGCGGUGCCGAGAAAACCUUCGCUGGGACAACGGUGCGCAUCCGUACUAAAACUGACACAGGUAGGCGAGGAGAGUAUCCUCAGGCGCUCGAGAGAACCGUCCUUAAGGAACUAGGCAAUUUGACCCCGUACCUUCGGAAUAAGGGGUCCCUCCUCGAGAGACUGCUAUUACGUAGUCUUAUCGAGAGGGCGCAGAGAAUCGGCUCUGGCGACUGUUUAUCAAAAACACAGGACUCUGCUAACUCGCAAGAGGAUGUAUAGAGUCUGACGCCUGCCCGGUGCCGGAAGGUCAAGGAAGCGGGUUAUCCCGAUUCGUCGGGAGAAGCUCACGACUUAAGCCCCGGUAAACGGCGGCCGUAACUAUGACGGUCCUAAGGUAGCGAAAUUCCUUGUCGGGUAAGUUCCGACGCGCAUGAAUGGCGUAACGACUGGAGCAGUGUCUCAAGGACGGACUCGGUGAAAUUAUAGUCGCGGUGAAGAUACCGCGUACCCGCGGCAAGACGGAAAGACCCCGUGAACCUUUACUGUAGCCUGAUAUUGUUGCCUUGCUGCGCAUGCGUAGGAUAGGUGGGAGGCAUUGAAAUCCCGGUUCUGGCCGGGAUGGAGCCAACCUUGAAAUACCACCCUUGCGUUGUGAGUCACCUAACCCCAUUCCGUGAAUCCGGGUGGGGGACCGUGUCAGGUGGGCAGUUUGACUGGGGCGGUCUCCUCCCAAAAGGUAACGGAGGAGUUCAAAGGUAUCCUCAGCACGGUUGG
RNAcentral lists this ribosomal RNA (2380 nucleotides) under marine sediment metagenome. Its description in RNAcentral is "bacterial LSU rRNA". It matches the Rfam family "Bacterial large subunit ribosomal RNA", at positions 14 to 2334 of the family's 2925-position model. The record is from RNAcentral.